Molecule: ribosomal RNA, 1343 nt
Filed under: uncultured bacterium
Lineage: Bacteria
Description: 16S ribosomal RNA
Rfam family: Bacterial small subunit ribosomal RNA
Source: RNAcentral
GACGAACGCUGGCGGCGUGCUUAACACAUGCAAGUCGAACGGAAAGGCCCUGCUUUUGUGGGGUGCUCGAGUGGCGAACGGGUGAGUAACACGUGAGUAACCUGCCCUUGACUUUGGGAUAACUUCAGGAAACUGGGGCUAAUACCGGAUAGGAGCUCUUGCUGCAUGGUGGGGGUUGGAAAGUUUCGGCGGUUGGGGAUGGACUCGCGGCUUAUCAGCUUGUUGGUGGGGUAGUGGCUUACCAAGGCUUUGACGGGUAGCCGGCCUGAGAGGGUGACCGGCCACAUUGGGACUGAGAUACGGCCCAGACUCCUACGGGAGGCAGCAGUGGGGAAUAUUGCACAAUGGGCGGAAGCCUGAUGCAGCAACGCCGCGUGCGGGAUGACGGCCUUCGGGUUGUAAACCGCUUUCGCCUGUGACGAAGCGUGAGUGACGGUAAUGGGUAAAGAAGCACCGGCUAACUACGUGCCAGCAGCCGCGGUGAUACGUAGGGUGCGAGCGUUGUCCGGAUUUAUUGGGCGUAAAGGGCUCGUAGGUGGUUGAUCGCGUCGGAAGUGUAAUCUUGGGGCUUAACCCUGAGCGUGCUUUCGAUACGGGUUGACUUGAGGAAGGUAGGGGAGAAUGGAAUUCCUGGUGGAGCGGUGGAAUGCGCAGAUAUCAGGAGGAACACCAGUGGCGAAGGCGGUUCUCUGGGCCUUUCCUGACGCUGAGGAGCGAAAGCGUGGGGAGCGAACAGGCUUAGAUACCCUGGUAGUCCACGCUGUAAACGGUGGGUACUAGGUGUGGGGUCCAUUCCACGGGUUCCGUGCCGUAGCUAACGCUUUAAGUACCCCGCCUGGGGAGUACGGCCGCAAGGCUAAAACUCAAAGGAAUUGACGGGGCCCCGCACAAGCGGCGGAGCAUGCGGAUUAAUUCGAUGCAACGCGUAGAACCUUACCUGGGUUUGACAUGGAUCGGGAGUGCUCAGAGAUGGGUGUGCCUCUUUUGGGGUCGGUUCACAGGUGGUGCAUGCCUGUCGUCAGCUCGUGUCGUGAGAUGUUGGGUUAAGUCCCGCAACGAGCGCAACCCUUGUUCACUGUUGCCAGCACGUUAUGGUGGGGACUCAGUGGAGACCGCCGGGGUCAACUCGGAGGAAGGUGGGGAUGACGUCAAGUCCUCAUGCCCCUUAUGUCCAGGGCUUCACGCAUGCUACAAUGGCUGGUACAGAGAGUGGCGAGCCUGUGAGGGUGAGCGAAUCUCGGAAAGCCGGUCUCAGUUCGGAUUGGGGUCUGCAACUCGACCUCAUGAAGUCGGAGUCGCUAGUAAUCGCAGAUCAGCAACGCUGCGGUGAAAAAGUUCCCGGG